Molecule: ribosomal RNA, 491 nt
Filed under: Anodonthyla rouxae (Madagascar climbing frog)
Lineage: Eukaryota; Metazoa; Chordata; Amphibia; Anura; Microhylidae
Description: partial 16S ribosomal RNA
Rfam family: Bacterial large subunit ribosomal RNA
Source: RNAcentral
GUUUGACCCCCCGAAACUAAGCGAGCUACUCUUAAACAGCCUCUUAGGGCCAACCCGUCUCCGUAGCAAAGGAGUGGGAAGAUUUAAGAGUAGAGGUGACAUACCUACCGAGCUUAGAGAUAGCUGGUUAUUUAGGAAAAGGAUUUAAGUCCGCCUUUAAGUUUCUACAGUACCCCAAACACCUCUUAAACUUAAAAGACAUUCGAAUAAGGUACAGCCUAUUUGAACAAGGAAACAGCCUGCAGACCCGGGUAAUGACCCCCACGAUGUGACUAGGUGGGCCUAAAAGCAGCCAGCCUCCAGAAAGCGUCCAAGCUUCAUCACUAUCCAUUAAUAAUCCCUCUAUUUAUUCAGAACCCUCCAUCGCUACUAAAUAACCCCAUACCCGCUAUGGGAGAUAUUAUGCUAGAACUAGUAACAAGAAGAAGCACUUCUCCUAAAUAUAAGCGUAAGCCAAAAUGAACCCUCACUGGCACUUACCGCCGCUAAGC